Molecule: long non-coding RNA, 891 nt
Organism: Sphaeramia orbicularis (orbiculate cardinalfish)
Lineage: Eukaryota; Metazoa; Chordata; Actinopteri; Kurtiformes; Apogonidae
Exons: 3
Source: RefSeq, a predicted model, not a curated record
UCACCGCGUGAUUUGCAAGUCAUGUAGCUCAGAAGACCCAUCAAGGGAAGAGGAUAAAAAGGCAAAAUGAAAAGAGAUUCUUUACAAGUCCAGCCAGAACAUGCGGUAUAAAGGUGCAGGAGAGCCAGGGCAUGAGAGGGAUUACACCACCAAAAAAAAAAAAAAAGAAAAAAAAAAAGGGGAAAACCUACAGAACACUCAACAGGCUUCAAAACGGCAGAUGGAUGGAUGCCAGUGGUGUAGGAGAACACCUCAGUCUGAGGUGGCUUUCAUGUGACAUGACACCGAAAGCUCGACCCCACUCCCCUCCUACCCGGCAAUGAUAGCAGCUUGAUUGGGCAGGAUUCCAUUUGCAACCUCAUCACUUUCCCGGGCUGCAACAAUGAGGCCGAUUGUUCCACUCCUACUAAUGGAGAAGGCCCAAGAAAGCCUGGCCUCUUCCCCCUGGCAGCCCACGUAUCUUUACUAUCAGAACUCCAGCUUGGGACUGGGGGCAACCUUGCUGAAAUGAAUCCCAAUCCCUUAACCCUCCUCCUGCCCCGCCCUGUCCACCUUUCCCUCUGUGCCUCUCGCUCAAUUUCAACAAGCUCGAUUUGUAGCAAAUUUGUCUCUGCGGCUCCCUUUAAUUGAAUGACUUUGGCACUAACAAGGAGCUGAUUGAGCUCAAUAACGGCAGUGUUGAAGGUAGCGGUGCCAGACCGGACGUUGGACUGGUUUCUCUACACCAUAAUAAAACUGCCAAUAUUUUGACAGAAAACACAUUUAUAUAAGUUACAGACAAAAGAUGUGAAUGUAACCUAGUUUUAAGACUUCUGCAUUGAGUUUGCACUAGACCUUGGUGAUAUGGCCAAAUAAUUAUAUUCUUGAUUUCUUAAGGAUAAUUUUUGGUUU